This 515-nucleotide ribosomal RNA is filed under the name uncultured bacterium. RNAcentral describes it as "partial 16S ribosomal RNA". It matches the Rfam family "Bacterial small subunit ribosomal RNA", at positions 28 to 523 of the family's 1533-position model. The record is from RNAcentral.
GAUGAACGCUGGCGGCGUGCCUAAUACAUGCAAGUCGAGCGAAUGGAUUAAGAGCUUGCUCUUAUGAAGUUAGCGGCGGACGGGUGAGUAACACGUGGGUAACCUGCCCAUAAGACUGGGAUAACUCCGGGAAACCGGGGCUAAUACCGGAUAACAUUUUGAACCGCAUGGUUCGAAAUUGAAAGGCGGCUUCGGCUGUCACUUAUGGAUGGACCCGCGUCGCAUUAGCUAGUUGGUGAGGUAACGGCUCACCAAGGCAACGACGCGUAGCCGACCUGGGGGGGUGAUCGGCCACACUGGGACUGAGACACGGCCCAGACUCCUACGGGAGGCGGCAGUAGGGAAUCUUCCGCAAUGGACGAAAGUCUGACGGAGCAACGCCGCGUGAGUGAUGAAGGCUUUCGGGUCGUAAAACUCUGUUGUUAGGGAAGAACAAGUGCUAGUUGAAUAAGCUGGCACCUUGACGGUACCUAACCAGAAAGCCACGGCUAACUGCGUGCCAGCCGCCGCCGUAA